CCCAGGGAGCUUAGCACUGCAAUAUCAUCAGCAGCCCUUCAAAAGCAAAUCUUUCUUUGAAGACAAAUCAUUUAAAGAAAACUGGAUGAAAACUUGCAGAGAGUUCUGAAUCUCAUAGGUGCUGGGCUCUCCUUGGAUCAGCGGGUGGCCAACGUGGAGGUGAGUUGCGUGACCUUCUCUCUCCUCAAAUGCCGAAAACUCUGUCCACACGCCACUGAUAACAGCAACAGAUAUGCAACCAAAUGAAAUAUGCCUCCUCUUGGCAGCUGCUACAGAACGACGCUGCAGAAAGGAAAGGUCUUUGUGUGAAAAUGUAUCAUUCUUGUAUAUCCAAAAUAAAUUCUCAUGUCAAGACCGCCCACUCGGGCAAAACAAGCCUCUCUGCCUCAUCCAGUUGCAUCAAGUGUGCUUCAAAGUUGAGAAAAUGUGAG
This 431-nucleotide long non-coding RNA is filed under the name Vulpes vulpes (red fox). RNAcentral describes it as "lncRNA (ENSVVUG00000027396.1)". Lineage: Eukaryota; Metazoa; Chordata; Mammalia; Carnivora; Canidae. The record is from RNAcentral.